Molecule: long non-coding RNA, 215 nt
Filed under: Mytilus galloprovincialis (Mediterranean mussel)
Lineage: Eukaryota; Metazoa; Mollusca; Bivalvia; Mytilida; Mytilidae
Source: RNAcentral
CACAGAUGUGUGAAUAGAAAAAAAAUAUUAGAAGAUGUGGUAUGAUUGCCAAUGAAACAACUCUCCACAAGAGACCAGAAUGACACAGAAAUUAACAACUAUAGGUCACUGUACGGCUAUCAACAACGAGCAAAGCCCAUUCCGCAUAGGCCUCGAAAUGACAAUGUAAAACAACUCAAACGAGAAAACUAACGGCUUUAUAUAUGUUAAAAAAA